Mus musculus (house mouse) is the source of this 179-nucleotide long non-coding RNA. RefSeq annotates it as predicted gene, 31385. Lineage: Eukaryota; Metazoa; Chordata; Mammalia; Rodentia; Muridae. The transcript is spliced from 3 exons. The record is from RefSeq and is a predicted model, not a curated record.
UAUUCCUAUAAAGACAGAGGUGCUUCACAGGACACCAAGGAAGACCACAUUGGAAACAUUAUCCAGCAUCACUGGAAACAAGUGUCCAAGGAGUCCAGAAGAGGGCGUCAUCAGAUCUCCUGGAGCUGAAGUAAUAGGCGGUCAUGAGCUGCACUACUGGAGCACAGGGAGCCGAACUC